GGGUGACGAGCGGCGGACGGGUGAGUAAUGUCUGGGAAACUGCCUGAUGGCGGGGGAUAACUAGUGGAAACGGUAGCUAAUACCGCAUAACGUCGCAAGACCAAAGUGGGGGACCUUCGGGCCUCACGCCAUCAGAUGUGCCCAGGUGGGAUUAGCUGGUAGGUGAGGUAACGGCUCACCUAGGCGACGAUCCCUAGCUGGUCUGAGAGGAUGACCAGCCACACUGGAACUGAGACACGGUCCAGACUCCUACGGGAGGCAGCAGUGGGGAAUAUUGCACAAUGGGCGCAAGCCUGAUGCAGCCAUGCCGCGUGUGUGAAGAAGGCCUUCGGGUUGUAAAGCACUUUCAGCGAGGAGGAAGGGUAAUGUGUUAAUAAGACAUUGC
Molecule: ribosomal RNA, 385 nt
Filed under: Serratia symbiotica
Lineage: Bacteria; Pseudomonadati; Pseudomonadota; Gammaproteobacteria; Enterobacterales; Yersiniaceae
Description: bacterial SSU rRNA
Rfam family: Bacterial small subunit ribosomal RNA
Source: RNAcentral